AUGUACCACUCGCACGCUUCGGCGCUUGCGUGUCGUCCGCACCCGCCUGACGGCCGCUCGCUACGUCUUGUCAGCU
This 76-nucleotide small RNA is filed under the name Xanthomonas arboricola. RNAcentral's name for it is "sX9 sRNA". It matches the Rfam family "Xanthomonas sRNA sX9". Lineage: Bacteria; Pseudomonadati; Pseudomonadota; Gammaproteobacteria; Lysobacterales; Lysobacteraceae. RNAcentral also lists the same sequence under 2 other names. The record is from RNAcentral.